UUCAUUCCCUGAUAAUACCACACAUGUCUGUAGGUUGAGGCAGUGAUUGACAAAAUUAUCGAGGAGGCAAGGACUGGGGAGAUUGGUGAUGGCAAAAUUUUCUUGAUCCCCGUCUCAGAUGUUAUAAGAAUACGGACAGGUGAACGUGGGGAGAAAGCAGAGAGGAUGACUGGUGGGAGAAGUGACAUGUUAUCUGCUGUAUGACUGUUGGAAUGAAAAGAUCAGCAUUUAUCAUCUUUUUCUCUUACCCUUUCCUUUUCCCUUGUGGAAUAAGCAAAUGCAUUGUGAUUUAUAUUUGCAAGGAUGUAUGACAGACUGUUGAAAGGACAGUGAUGAAACUUGUGAAAAAAUAAUAAACAAAGGCGAAUUACUUCAAUUAGCGCCAUGUCAUAUGACGCCAAAUUGUAUGUGAUGUAAUAAAUUAAUGACAUUAUCAGA
Molecule: non-coding RNA, 438 nt
Organism: Vigna umbellata (rice bean)
Lineage: Eukaryota; Viridiplantae; Streptophyta; Magnoliopsida; Fabales; Fabaceae
Source: RefSeq, a predicted model, not a curated record